CGUGGCCCAGUGGUGAAGACGUUUGGGGUAACAACCCAAUGGUCGCUGGUUCGAGCCCGGU
RNAcentral lists this transfer RNA (61 nucleotides) under Oxyrrhis marina. The record is from RNAcentral. Lineage: Eukaryota; Dinophyceae; Oxyrrhinales; Oxyrrhinaceae.